GACGAACGCUGGCGGCGGGCUUAACACAUGCAAGUCGAACGGAAAGGCCCUGCGUUUGUGGGGUGCUCGAGUGGCGAACGGGUGAGUAACACGUGAGUAACCUGCCCUUGACUUUGGGAUAAGUUCAGGAAACUGGGGCUAAUACCGGAUAGGAGCUCCUGCUGCAUGGUGGGGGGUGGAAAGUUUCGGCGGUUGGGGAUGGACUCGCGGCUUAUCAGCUUGUUGGUGGGGUAGUGGCUUACCAAGGCUUUGACGGGUAGCCGGCCUGUGAGGGUGACCGGCCACAUUGGGACUGAGAUACGGCCCAGACUCCUACGGGAGGCAGCAGUGGGGAAUAUUGCACAAUGGGCGGAAGCCUGAUGCAGCAACGCCGCGUGCGGGAUGACGGCCUUCGGGUUGUAAACCGCUUUCGCCUGUGACGAAGCGUGAGUGACGGUAAUGGGUAAAGAAGCACCGGCUAACUACGUG
This 468-nucleotide ribosomal RNA is filed under the name uncultured bacterium. RNAcentral's name for it is "partial 16S ribosomal RNA". It matches the Rfam family "Bacterial small subunit ribosomal RNA", at positions 28 to 507 of the family's 1533-position model. The record is from RNAcentral.